GGACGAACGCUGGCGGCGUGCUUAACACAUGCAAGUCGAGCGAUGAAGCUCCUUCGGGAGUGGAUUAGCGGCGGACGGGUGAGUAACACGUGGGUAACCUGCCUCAUAGAGGGGAAUAGCCUUUCGAAAGGAAGAUUAAUACCGCAUAAGAUUGUAGUACUGCAUGGUACAGCAAUUAAAGGAGUAAUCCGCUAUGAGAUGGACCCGCGUCGCAUUAGCUAGUUGGUGAGGUAACGGCUCACCAAGGCGACGAUGCGUAGCCGACCUGAGAGGGUGAUCGGCCACAUUGGGACUGAGACACGGCCCAGACUCCUACGGGAGGCAGCAGUGGGGAAUAUUGCACAAUGGGGGAAACCCUGAUGCAGCAACGCCGCGUGAGUGAUGACGGUCUUCGGAUUGUAAAGCUCUGUCUUUAGGGACGAUAAUGACGGUACCUAAGGAGGAAGCCACGGCUAACUACGUGCCAGCAGCCGCGGUAAUACGUAGGUGGCAAGCGUUGUCCGGAUUUACUGGGCGUAAAGGGAGCGUAGGUGGAUAUUUAAGUGGGAUGUGAAAUACCCGGGCUUAACCUGGGUGCUGCAUUCCAAACUGGAUAUCUAGAGUGCAGGAGAGGAAAGGAGAAUUCCUAGUGUAGCGGUGAAAUGCGUAGAGAUUAGGAAGAAUACCAGUGGCGAAGGCGCCUUUCUGGACUGUAACUGACACUGAGGCUCGAAAGCGUGGGGAGCAAACAGGAUUAGAUACCCUGGUAGUCCACGCUGUAAACGAUGAAUACUAGGUGUAGGGGUUGUCAUGACCUCUGUGCCGCCGCUAACGCAUUAAGUAUUCCGCCUGGGGAGUACGGUCGCAAGAUUAAAACUCAAAGGAAUUGACGGGGGCCCGCACAAGCAGCGGAGCAUGUGGUUUAAUUCGAAGCAACGCGAAGAACCUUACCUAGACUUGACAUCUCCUGAAUUACUCUGUAAUGGAGGAAGCCACUUCGGUGGCAGGAAGACAGGUGGUGCAUGGUUGUCGUCAGCUCGUGUCGUGAGAUGUUGGGUUAAGUCCCGCAACGAGCGCAACCCUUAUUGUUAGUUGCUACCAUUUAGUUGAGCACUCUAGCGAGACUGCCCGGGUUAACCGGGAGGAAGGUGGGGAUGACGUCAAAUCAUCAUGCCCCUUAUGUCUAGGGCUACACACGUGCUACAAUGGUCGGUACAAUGAGAUGCAACCUCGCGAGAGUGAGCAAAACUAUAAAACCGAUCUCAGUUCGGAUUGUAGGCUGAAACUCGCCUACAUGAAGCUGGAGUUGCUAGUAAUCGCGAAUCAGAAUGUCGCGGUGAAUACGUUCCCGGGCCUUGUACACACCGCCCGUCACUCCAUGAGAGUUGGCAAUACCCAAAGU
RNAcentral lists this ribosomal RNA (1381 nucleotides) under uncultured bacterium. RNAcentral's name for it is "16S ribosomal RNA". It matches the Rfam family "Bacterial small subunit ribosomal RNA". The record is from RNAcentral.